GAUGAACGCUGGCGGCGUGCCUAAUACAUGUAAGUCGAGCGAACAGAUGAGGAGCUUGCUCCUCUGACGUUAGCGGCGGACGGGUGAGUAACACGUGGAUAACCUACCUAUAAGACUGGGAUAACUUCGGGAAACCGGAGCUAAUACCGGAUAAUAUAUUGAACCGCAUGGUUCAAUAGUGAAAGACGGUUUUGCUGUCACUUAUAGAUGGAUCCGCGCCGCAUUAGCUAGUUGGUAAGGUGACGGCUUACCAAGGCAACGAUGCGUAGCCGACCUGAGAGGGUGAUCGGCCACACUGGAACUGAGACACGGUCCAGACUCCUACGGGAGGCAGCAGUAGGGAAUCUUCCGCAAUGGGCGAAAGCCUGACGGAGCAACGCCGCGUGAGUGAUGAAGGUCUUCGGAUCGUAAAACUCUGUUAUUAGGGAAGAACAAAUGUGUAAGUAACUAUGCACGUCUUGACGGUACCUAAUCAGAAAGCCACGGCUAACUACGUG
RNAcentral lists this ribosomal RNA (497 nucleotides) under uncultured bacterium. Its description in RNAcentral is "partial 16S ribosomal RNA". It matches the Rfam family "Bacterial small subunit ribosomal RNA", at positions 28 to 507 of the family's 1533-position model. The record is from RNAcentral.